This is a long non-coding RNA of Mustela lutreola (European mink), 1658 nucleotides long. RefSeq lists it as uncharacterized. Lineage: Eukaryota; Metazoa; Chordata; Mammalia; Carnivora; Mustelidae. The transcript is spliced from 6 exons. The record is from RefSeq and is a predicted model, not a curated record.
UCCGCUGUGGGGCGGGACCCAGGCCGCGACCCCGACCCCGAUCCAGGCCGCGACCCCAGCCCCGACCCCGACCCCGACCCAGGUCGCGACACCCCUGUGGGCCCACCGCUAUGGCCCGGCGAGUGCUCCUGACGGGGCCCCCAAGUAACCCCGCCCAGGUGUUCGCUUCCGGGGGACCGCGGGGGUCAGAGCCUCCACCUGGAAAACGUGAAUGCCGGGUGGACAGUACAUGGUGGAUAUGACUUCCUUCAAGCACUUGGCACUCCGGUCUUGAGGAAUAUAUUCCUCAACUGACUGUGGGUUUACCUCCUGAUAAAGCCAUCGUAAGUGGAAAGUCUGAUUUAUUUAUUUUAGAGAGAGAGCACGCACAAGUGGAGGGGGCAAAGGGAGAGGAAGAGAAACUGAGAGUCGGAGACUUAACCCACUGCACCACCCAGGCAGGUUCCAGCAGUGGCCCAGAGCACAGAGUGUGCAUCAUCAACGAGAUCGGGAAGAUGGAGCUCUGCAGUCAGCCUUUCAUCCAGGCUGUUCGUCAGACACUGGUCACCCCAGGGACUGUUGUCCUGGGCAUGAUCCCAAUACCGAAAGGAAAACCGCAGGCCCUCGUGGAAGAAAUCAGAAACAGAAACGACGUUCAGGUGUUCAGUGGAAGUUCUCUGAACCCUGUCUGAGAGCAGCCCGUGCACCCAGCACUUCAUCCAAGGCACCGCAGAAGCAUAUUCUCUUCCCUCAAGAGACAUAGGUGAUGUGACAUCAACAUCCAGAAGCAGAGAAGAGAGAGAACUCUGUGGGGAGAGGUGGCCCCGGCCACAUGGUUCCUGGAUGGGUUUUUAAGGAGGAAGUGGAGAAAAGAAGGAAGAACAUAGCGGGUGAGGAAGUAAGUUCUGUAGCAUGGGGAGGGCCGCCUCCCCGUGCUGACAACCGAGCAUGUUAGGACAUGGUCAUGGGACUGAACUCAAGAGGGAAAGGAUUCCACUGAGGUACUCCUGUUACCUAGACUUACUGAUAGCAUCGGUAAACAGCACUCCUUUUCAGAAAAAAAACCCUCUGAACGCUUCCUGUUCCACAUAAGGUGGAAUAGAUACACUUUCCCUAUCCUUCCUCUCAAACGGAGCUGAAAACCUUGGACAUUACAUAUAAACCAAACAUCAGGAGACCUGGAGGGUGGAAAGAAAAAGGCACACUGGCUGGGAAGUGCAGCCAGAGGACAACACAGCAGACACAACUGAACAUCGCCUGUCCUACCAAGCACCAGGACAAGCAACUGGAACAGAACAAACAUCAGCACAUGCUGACAGUAAGGAGAUGGAGAUGUUGGAAUUAUAGGAUGGGGAUCCUGAAACAGCCGUGAUGAAAUGCUUCAGUGAUCAGUUACAAAGAUGCUGGAAACAAGUGAAAAUAGGAAGUCUCAGUUUUAGCAAAGCUAUAGAAGACAUAAAAAUCAAAGAAAAACUUUAGAACUGUAACAUACAGUAACUGAAUGAGAAAGUCUGUGGAAGGACUCCUCAGGAGAAUGGAGAUAGACAAAGGGAAUAUUCGGUCAAGUUUGAAGGUAGAACAAUAGAAACUGCCUGACAAAGAGCAGACUUGGGGGAACCCCCCCCCCAAAAAAAAAGCCUCAGGGACUUUUGGUACUAUAAUAAAAGAUCUAACAUUCA